UCUGGUGACAAUAGCAAGGAGGUCACACCUGUUUCCAUGCCGAACACAGAAGUUAAGCUCCUUAGCGCCGAUGGUAGUCGGGCUUACGUCCCGCUAGAGUAGGACGUUGCCAGGC
RNAcentral lists this ribosomal RNA (115 nucleotides) under Staphylococcus sp. TE8. Lineage: Bacteria; Bacillati; Bacillota; Bacilli; Caryophanales; Staphylococcaceae. The record is from RNAcentral.